UUUCAGCUGAGAUGGGAAGAAUUAACAUAUGUAAAGCGUUUAUGGCAGUGUCUGGUACAUCGGAGAUGCUCAAAAAUUAUUAGUUGUAAUUAUUUAACUUAUUUUUUUUAAAGCUGCUCAUGAACACAUACUAAUAAGAUGAGCCAUGUUCUUAUAUUUAUUACACAAUUUUUAAGUGUCUCCUAUGUGCUGAGUCCUGUAUUACAUAAAGAUAAUCAUUUCAAAUCCUCAGCAGUUUUCAAGUGGAUGGGAGGUAGACAAGCCAACACAUUUACAGGAGAGAAUAAGUAUGAUAAGCACCAGGAGCAUGACAUGGCACAUGGUGCCAUGGGAGAAGUAAAUGGGACCAUGGCCUAGUUUGGAGGACAUGUUCAAAACAAUCUAUGAUUCUCUAAGCAAAACAGCUCCAUCAAGAGUAUUGCCAACCUUUCCCUUGGGGGACACAGAGACUCAGGCAAGAAAAAGUAAAAGGAGGCUAGACAUCUGUCCCCAGUGGAAAAAAGGAAGAACACACCUGGAGAGCAGCUAAGACAAAGAGACUCGGAAGGAAAAGAACAGUAAUCAAAAGACCAUACUACCAACUGUUGCUGGUUUAUAAAAUACAUCCAACUGUUGCUGGUUUAUAAAAUACAACUGUUCCUGAAGGAAAGAAAUACAGUAACAAUUAUACUAAAAACUGGAACAAGGAGGGGUUGUGCCACAUUGUAUAUCCUUCAUGGCUUAGCUCUGAUGACACUCCUUCCAGGAACUUUUCCCAGCAUGCCCUGAACUCAAUUUGGAUCAAGAGACAAGCCUGAGAUUGCCAAGCAUCCUGUGCACACUUUAUUUAUGCAUCAUUCAUUCAUUCACCUACUAUUCGAGUGCACCUAGCAUGCUUGAAGAGUUAGGGCAAUAAAAGUAAGCAAGGUAUAAAUAGCCCUUAACACAA
Ictidomys tridecemlineatus (thirteen-lined ground squirrel) is the source of this 928-nucleotide non-coding RNA. The record is from RefSeq and is a predicted model, not a curated record. Lineage: Eukaryota; Metazoa; Chordata; Mammalia; Rodentia; Sciuridae.